AAGCCCUAAAUGGAUUAGAUAAAGGGAGUGCUAAUCAGAAAUCUUUUGUUUUUCUGCAUAUAAAUGGCUAAGAUUAAACUCUUAAGAGAAACCAUACAAGACAAUGUAACAAAAUUAAGAGAACAGAAAAAGAAGCUCAUUAUUUUACUGAUUUAAUCACCUUUAAGCCAAUAGUUUUAUCCAUUUUUGAUCGGUUAUUUGAUCGGAAAGGUUGUCUCGCAUGAUUAGAAUAUGUGUUUUAUAGAAUCAUAAUGUUGAAGUUUUAUAACUUUCUUUUAAAAUCCAAUGAAAGGGUCUGUUUAAUUUCACUUAAACUUGAUAAAAAAAAUCAAUGCCAUAAAGUUCAAAUCAUAGUAAAGUGCAUAAACAUAUGAAAAAUAAAAAAUUGAACGAAAAAAGGGCAAAAUAAAAAAAAAACUGUUUUAUCGUAUAUUUGAUCUUUUGCUGACAAAGCACAGAUCUGUCCUAAAAAAGGUCUAAUUUCAAACACUGAUCAGUUUUGUAUCAGUUUGUAAGAUGGAUGAUCUAAAGCAAGUCGGUAUCAAAAAACUAGAGGAUCUCAAGGGUGUUUACAUCCGGGAUUGGCCAAAAUACUGUAAAGAGUACUAUUGCCUGGAUACUUUUCUGGAACUUCAUAAAAAGAAUCCCCAACUGGAGGGUGUAAGCGUUUACACCCUUCCCAAUCUGGAACUCGGUUUAUUUGUAAUCGUGGAUCAUUGGCAAAUUUUUGUGGGCUCCUUGGAAGCGGAAAGAUCCCAGAGCCUUCUGAAAGAAUCCCUACUCAAAUUGGACUUCUUAGGUGGCGAACAAUUCUCCUCCAUGCCAAAAAGAUACUUCAAAGUUGCUACAGAUAUUAUUCAGGCCAAAAAACUAAAAAUGUAUCUCAAUAGUGUCACCUACUCUAUGAUUUUGAACAAAGAAGAGGCUCUACAUUUUCAAGUGGAGUAAGUGUGUACCAAAAUGUAUAAACAUUUAUAUUUUUCAACUUUUUAUACGUUUUUGCAGACCACCAGCUGGCUUUUCCUUAAGAUCAGUAAGUGUGGCCGAUGCUCAAGUGAUUGACGAUCAUUGGGAGUGGAGUGAACAAGGAAGCCUUUCCUUUAUUGCACGCCAAAUUGUUUUUAGCACUAGCGUGGGCUUGUAUAAGGACGAAGACAAUGAACUCGUGGCCUGGUGUAUUAGGGCACAGGAUGGUUUAUUGGCCGUCCUGCAAGUGAAACCAACCUACAAACGCAGGGGAUUUGGUGUUAUGAUUGUUAAAGAGUUCUCCAGGCGAGAAGCUCUCCUGGGUCGCGAUAUAAUCACCGAAGUAAUUCCAGAAAACAAUGCAUCCUUAGGGCUGUUUAAAAAAUUGGGCUUCAAGAUCAACGAUCAGUGUCAUUGGCUUAUAACAGAAGCGUCAGUUUUGGAUAGAUAAGAUUAAAGAUCUUGUUUGUAGAUGAACAAGAUAUAUAUAUGUGCAAUAUA
Drosophila eugracilis is the source of this 1467-nucleotide RNA transcript. RefSeq lists it as uncharacterized. NCBI's taxonomy places the organism in Eukaryota, Metazoa, Arthropoda, Insecta, Diptera, Drosophilidae. The record is from RefSeq and is a predicted model, not a curated record. The transcript is spliced from 4 exons.